UACGGGGGGGGGGCAAGCGUUGUUCGGAAUUACUGGGCGGAAAGGGCUUGUAGGUGGCCAACUAAGUCAGACGUGAAAUCCCUCGGCUUAACCGGGGAACUGCGUCUGAUACUGGAUGGCUCGAGUGUGGGAGAGGGAUGCGGAAUUCCUGGUGUAGCGGUGAAAUGCGCAGAUAUCAGGAGGAACACCAAUUGCGAAGGCAGCUCGCUGGGACGUAACUGACGCUGAGACGCGAAAGCGUGGGGAGCAAACAGG
RNAcentral lists this ribosomal RNA (255 nucleotides) under uncultured bacterium. Its description in RNAcentral is "partial 16S ribosomal RNA". It matches the Rfam family "Bacterial small subunit ribosomal RNA", at positions 522 to 776 of the family's 1533-position model. The record is from RNAcentral.